UCUCUUUUGAAACAGCCAGACAAGACACACCAGCACCAACCCGAGGGCUUGUGGACAAUAACGCUGUGCUCUGGCUAACGAGUCACAGCAGAUCACGAGGGCGGUAUCAGAAGACAUACAGGCAAACAAACACAGAGCUGCUGCAUCCUCAAGUUAUGCUUCAAGCAUGGUUGCUCCACAGCUUUGUGAAUCAGCAGUCUUGUGUUCUUGGCCAGUUUCUACCAUUUACAUAUCCUGACUCCAAACCUACAGCUGCAUGACUUGUUUGCAUGACUAAUUUCACUGAACUCCAAGGGCAGGACUUCAGGGGCCUCCAAUUGCAGCUCCCAGUACGUGAGGGAGGUCACACCUAAUCAAGAGCCCCUGCUCCCCCCUCAGCCAAAGCAGUGAAGCUCCAUCAAAUGUGGAUCUCCAACAUCCCAGUCACAGAACUAUUUGCAAUGCUAGAUCUCUUUCCAUUCCUCUAACAGAGGUCUUAAAAUCAGGAGGAGGGAUGGAAGACAUGAUGACCUGGAUUAUGCCAUAACCUAGUGGCUACAGCAGCAUUCUGAGCCAUGAGUGGGUUGCAUCCCAAAAGGCCAAGAUGAAAGUGAACUGAGAUUUCCCACUCCCUAGCUGACUACAUUUAUUAAGAUACUGUGGGAAGGAAGCUCUGCUGCUUCCCUAACCCUUUUCACAGAAGCCUGUGGUUUUUCUGUGAAUGACACUGGCUCGGUGCUAAAAGGCUCUGAGGGAGCACGGCAGAGUGGGCCUCUCCAGGGAUUACAGUGGAAUUUUUUAUUACUGUGGAAUAGCCUUUGCUGUACUCCUGAAUCAGGCUGAGGGCCAGGUCACUGACACCUGUGCAGGCAUGGGCAGCCCCAUUUAGACACCUUGGGAACUGCCAGGACAGUUGGUGGUAGGAAUUUUUACAUACCCCUAGGCUCAAACAGCUACCACAGCAGAAAAUAGCUUCCCUGAUAGGUAUCUAGAAGAUAGGUAGUUUUCUUGAACUUGGCCAGAUGAAUCCUCUGAGUUCCACUUCUGGUGCCCAAUGUAAGCAUUGUAGAACCUAUCCAUCAUGACAGUGCAUUUAUUUAAUGACUUGGAUGUUUGAGGGCAAGUCUCAUAAUCCUAUGUAUUUUAACUCACCAUCCCAAACAUCUAAUUACUUACCUCAUGAUGAUAUUUUAAAGAUUAAUUUACAUUUGAGGAAAUGGCUCUAGGGUCCCUAGGGAAAUGGUCACAGCACCAAACCUACUGGAGUUCAAGAAGUGUUUG
Molecule: long non-coding RNA, 1260 nt
Filed under: Parus major (Great Tit)
Lineage: Eukaryota; Metazoa; Chordata; Aves; Passeriformes; Paridae
Description: lncRNA (ENSPMJG00000001676.1)
Source: RNAcentral